AUGAGUAAUGACGCCUUCUCAAUCUGCUCCUGGAAUGUACGUGGUCUUGGUGAUGAUGAUAAAUGCUCCGAUGUUCUCUCCAAAUUGAUAGCGAUUAAGCCACACAUUACCCUCUUGCAAGAAUCAAAACUCGACACUCUCUCUAACCUCAAACAAAGAUCCUUCUUGCCACGACAACUCGACCAAGUGCUCUCGUUACCAGCUGUGGGCACCGCGGGUGGCACCAUCUCUGCCAUCAACUCUGCCUCUUUUCAAGUUGUUUCCCACUCACACCUAAAUUUCUCAUCCACCCUAAUCCUACAAUCAACUGUGUGCGCCCACCACAUCGCCAUCACAAAUAUCUACGCUCCCUCUUCACGAUCACUCAAGCAAGCCUUCCUAAACGAACUCUCAUCUAUCUCACAACCAGACGACGCCCCCUGGAUUAUCGCUGGCGACUUCAACCUUAUCCGCUUCCCAUCUGAUAAAAACAAUCCUGCCUUCCACCACGCCGAAGCCAAUGCAUUCAACCAAACCCUAGAUGAAUUAGCUCUCAUAGAGUUGCCCCUACUUGAUCGCAGGUACACCUGGUCAAACAACAGAGCCACCCCCACCUUAGAACGGAUAGAUCGUGUUUUCUUUAACUUAGCGUGGGCUAACGCCUUCCCUAACACCUCGCUAUCCUCUCGUACUCGUUUCUCGUCCGAUCACGUCCCCCUCCUCAUCCACGUCACCACCACCAUCCCACGAUCCAACAUCUUUAAAUUUGAGGCUGGAUGGGCCAACUUCCGGCCUUGUGGCGAUAUUGUCAGCCAAAUUUGGGCCUCGCAGCCCACAUCGCCACCCAACGUUGUCGCCUCUCUCGUCGCCGCGCUCAAAAAAUCUCGUAUCAGUCUCAAAAAAUGGGCACGUUCUCGUAUCCCCACCCCCCCUUCGCGAAGCUCGUUGCCAUGCUGCAAUCACCGCCUUGGACUUCGUCGAGGAAAAUAG
RNAcentral lists this ribosomal RNA (969 nucleotides) under Triticum aestivum (bread wheat). Its description in RNAcentral is "partial small subunit ribosomal RNA". The record is from RNAcentral. Lineage: Eukaryota; Viridiplantae; Streptophyta; Magnoliopsida; Poales; Poaceae.